UGGGGAAUAUUGCACAAUGGGCGCAAGCCUGAUGCAGCCAUGCCGCGUGUGUGAAGAAGGCCUUCGGGUUGUAAACCUCUUUUAGCAAGGAAGAAGCGAAAGUGACGGUACUUGCAGAAAAAGCGCCGGCUAACUACGUGCCAGCAGCCGCGGUAAUACGUAGGGCGCAAGCGUUAUCCGGAAUUAUUGGGCGUAAAGAGCUCGUAGGCGGUUUGUCGCGUCUGCUGUGAAAACCCGAGGCUCAACCUCGGGCCUGCAGUGGGUACGGGCAGACUAGAGUGCGGUAGGGGAGAUUGGAACUCCUGGUGUAGCGGUGGAAUGCGCAGAUAUCAGGAAGAACACCGAUGGCGAAGGCAGAUCUCUGGGCCGUAACUGACGCUGAGGAGCGAAAGGGUGGGGAGCAAACAGGCUUAGAUACCCUGGUAGUCCACCCGUAAACGUUGGGAACUAGUUGUGGGGUCCAUUCCACGGAUUCCGUGACGCAGCUAACGCAUUAAGUUCCCCGCCUGGGGAGUACGGCCGCAAGGCUAAAACUU
This 536-nucleotide ribosomal RNA is filed under the name uncultured bacterium. Its description in RNAcentral is "partial 16S ribosomal RNA". It matches the Rfam family "Bacterial small subunit ribosomal RNA", at positions 355 to 902 of the family's 1533-position model. The record is from RNAcentral.